GCAUAUCAAUAAGCGGAGGAAAAGAAAAUAACAAUGAUUUCCUUAGUAACGGCGAGUGAAGAGGAAAAAGCUCAAAGUUGUAACCUAUUUGGCUUAGCCAAAUCGGAUUGUAGACUGGAGAAGUGUUUUAUGGCACGCCGAGUGAAAAAGUCCCUUGGAACAGGGCAUCAUAGAGGGUGAGAAUCCCGUGAAUUCACUUGAGUAUAUGUUGUCAACUUUAAUACACUUUCAAAGAGUCAGGUUGUUUGGGAAUGCAGCCUAAAUUGGGUGGUAAAUCUCACCUAAAGCUAAAUAUUGGCGAGAGACCGAUAGCGAACAAGUACCGUGAGGGAAAGAUGAAAAGAACUUUGAAAAGAGAGUUAAACAGUACGUGAAAUUGUUAAAAGGGAACCGUUUGGAGCCAGACCGGCUUUAUCGUAAUCAAUCUAGGUUUCGACCUGGAUGCACUUGCGGUAGAUUUGCCUGCCAACGACAGUUUUUUUUGAGGGAAAAAACUAGGAGGAAUGUGGCCCUUAACUUGUUAGGGGUGUUAUAGCCUUUUAGAAAAUACCUUGAAUUGGACUGAGGAACGCAGCGAAUGCUCUUUAGGGCGAAAUAGUUGAGUGCUUUGGCUGAUAGAUGCUAGAAUUUCUGCUUCGGGUGGUGCUAGUGUUUAAAGGUUAAACUCGCUUGAUUCAUUUUUUAUUCGCUUAGGUUGUUGGCUUAAUGACUCUAAAUGACCCGUCUUGAAACACGGACC
RNAcentral lists this ribosomal RNA (739 nucleotides) under Cokeromyces recurvatus. RNAcentral's name for it is "LSU rRNA". It matches the Rfam family "Eukaryotic large subunit ribosomal RNA", at positions 38 to 667 of the family's 3401-position model. Lineage: Eukaryota; Fungi; Mucoromycota; Mucoromycetes; Mucorales; Mucoraceae. The record is from RNAcentral.